This 403-nucleotide ribosomal RNA is filed under the name uncultured bacterium. Its description in RNAcentral is "partial 16S ribosomal RNA". It matches the Rfam family "Bacterial small subunit ribosomal RNA", at positions 29 to 526 of the family's 1533-position model. The record is from RNAcentral.
AUUGAACGCUGGCGGCAGGCCUAACACAUGCAAGUCGAGCGAGCGGCGGACGGGUGAGUAAUGUAUGGGGACUGCCCGCUCGAGGGGGAUCACUACUGGAAACGGUGGCUAAUACCGCAUACUAUCGGCUAACCCAUAUAGGAUAAGCUAGUAGGUGGGGUAAAGGCUCACCUAGGCGACGAGCUCUAGCUGGUCUGAGCGGAGGCACAGCCACACGGGGACUUAGACACGGCCCAGACUCCAACGGAGGCAGCAGGGGGAAAUAUUGCACAAGGGGCGAAAGCCGGAUGCAGCCAUGCCGCGUGUAUGAAGAAGGCCUUAGGGUUGUAAGGUACUUUCAGCGGGGAGGCGUUACCCGCAGAGGAAGCACCGGCGAACUCCGUGCCAGCAGCCGCGGUAAUAC